Pygocentrus nattereri (red-bellied piranha) is the source of this 2661-nucleotide long non-coding RNA. RefSeq lists it as uncharacterized. NCBI's taxonomy places the organism in Eukaryota, Metazoa, Chordata, Actinopteri, Characiformes, Serrasalmidae. The transcript has 11 exons. The record is from RefSeq and is a predicted model, not a curated record.
GCAUGCUACACAUUGUGCCUAGAGAGAUUGAUGUUUUGUCAUCCACCUGCUUCAAAGCUGUAAAACCAGCCGCAGCAAAGGCAAACCUACCCAGCUUCAAAAUCCAAACAAAGAAAUCUUAGUGGGCUGUUUACAUAUCAGUGGAGGGAUAUAUGGGCUUGUGCUGAUGUGGUGCCAGAAUGGUUGAAAGAUUUCAGUCCCUGCACAACGGAAGAGGGGGAAAAUCAAAGCGCGGAGGGCUUGCAGGAGCGGCAGGGGGGAAAAAAAGCUGACGGAGAGGUGAAGAGCGCAGCAAUGGAGGACGGCUACUUCCUGUUCCUGCUGGAGUGACCCGCAGGUCUGAGGAGGAGCGAGAGACAGAGCGAGGGAGAGGGAGAGAGACAGCAGCAGUGGCCAGCCGGUCACUGGGACGGCGCUGCGUAGCCGGCUGAUGGAGAGUUAACUGGUUGGACGGGAUCCAGCAGGACUCAGACAGGAACAGUGGAAUCUGCCUGCAUAUUUCUUUGACUUGAUGUUGAGGAGACAGAAGUUGAGGACAAUGAGGACCUACCUGCCCACUUUAUCCACUCCUCUUCAUGGGUGACUGGCCAAAAUAAGCCUUGGAUGCUGACAGGCAAAGAGUAGAGCAAAGGAAGGCAAGCCCUUCUCUCUGGAGCAGAUGACACAAAACAGAUGGCUGCAGUAUCCAGAGCCUUUAAUGCUAUCAAACGUGUCCAUGAGAGAUCUAAGUGGUGGCACUUGGAGGAUGAAAGUGUGUAGAAAAUCUGUUGUGCUUGAAGGGGCUCAAGGCUGGCCCAGAAGGCCCCAGAUCACUGCAUACAUCAGGGCUGGCUUAAUCCUGAUGGAUCCCAACUCCCUGGAGCAGAUAGAUGGAAGGAAUCUAGCAGAUCUUUGAAAAAGAAGAAAAUGAGGGAAAGAAAGGUGGAAAAAAAAACAACAUAAAAAGGUGGCUGGAACAGCAGUGUCUGGUUGGACAUGGCAGAUGAACUGAUCACCCAGUCUGGGAGCAGCACAGCAUCGCAAACAGAGCCGCACCACCUUGAGAAGCAGAGGGGUUAAGUGCCUUGCCAAGGGCACAACCAGGAGAUGACACAGCCUUCAGCCCUAAACUGGCACUGCCACCAUUCGCCCCUGCAACCCUCCUCCGUUCAUGAUGCCUUCAUCCCUCUCUUCUCCUUCCUCCGCAUCCCUCUCUCCCUCCUUUCUUCCUCUCCAUUCCCUGGCCUGUCAUCAAUCUUGCUAAAAUGACAGCUGACAGAUGUUAGCCUUUGCAAAGAUCAAAUCCGUGGCUGGAGGGCUGCUCACUGCGAAGCAUGCUAGUCACUGUGAGACGCAGGGCCGCAGCAGUGGUUCAUGCGUACACGCACACGCACCAUCUCUCUUCUUGGUUGAGUCUUCCUCAUGCCCCCUCCUCCUGCAUACACACACACUCACACACAUUUAACACAAGCUAACCCCCUCCACCCCCCACCUCAAGUGGUGACAUACAGUACUGAUGGACAAAUGUGUUGUGACAGCAGUCCGAGGUGUGGGGGGGGUUUGUGUGGGUGGCAGGGUGAGAGGACAGCUAGCAUAGAGGGGUGGUGCAGGGGACAGUCUGCCAAAUCAAGUUCAAGUAAACUUCUGACCACAAAGCUAUACUGAUUCUGCAUUCACUGCUAAAUGUAGUUCAAUGCGUGUGCAUUCAUUUUUAUACACCUGCAGGGCAAAAUCAUCCUAAAAUUGUGAUUAAAAACAGGGAUAGCCUCAUCUAGAUCAACAUGAGGCUGACUUUAUAAAGUGCUUGACACAGAAGCUGCACGUUUCAUAUUUUGAAACUAAGAGGGUAAAGUCAUGCAUUUUUUUUUCUUAUGAAGUUUAAGGUUAGGGCUAGAAUAAGGCUUAUAAAAAAGUUCUUAUUAAAUACAGGUCAUAUGAAAAACCUUUAUUUUAAAUUUAAUUUAAACCACUUGACAUGCCAUCUACUCUUUACAUAGUUUGGACAUUUAAUAAUGAUUAUGAAUAAUUGAUUAUAGUGAUUAUGAAUGAGUAAUAUAUUGACCAAUCGGAAUGGUCUGAAAUUCCUUGGAAUAAAAUAAUAAGUUAAAAAUGUUUAUUAAGGUUAAGAAAUUUUGCUAAAAACACUGACAUUGACAAUCAUUCUAUUUAAAGGUUUUGUUCAUUUUCUAAUGACCUCAGGCAGAGGCACCAUACCACCACACCCAGAGAUCAAGACAAGACCAAGUUCAAAUUAUGUCAAGACUGAGACUGUUAAUCUAUGAUCUCCAGACUGGAGUUCAAAGCCCAUUUUAGACUACAGUAUUUUUGCUUUGAAUGACCCUCAAAUCUUAAUUCUGUUUAUUUUACUCAAAUAAAUGAUUGUUUUGGUGGUGACAGAAUGGAAUGUUCAAUCAUAACACUACUAAAACUCAUAGUUAUUUCAUUUAAGCAAACUGUUAUUUAACUGAAGGAAAUAUUUAAUGGUUUUAAUGUUUCACAGUGAUUUUACAGACUUUAGGACACAUUUAUUUGCGAACUACCUGCUCACCGUGUGGCCAUGAGGGACAGGGAUGCUUCUCACAUCCUGCUCUAAAAUAAGCCUCCAUCUAUGGACUUCAAGUCUUUGUAUUUCAGUACUGAUAUGAAAACAUGGGACAGUAUUUAGUGAAUAAAGUUUUUUUU